AUUUGGAGAGGGCGCUUCGGGGCGCGCCGCCGGUCCGAGUGCCUUGGAACAGGCCGCCGUGGAGGGUGAGAGCCCCGUACGCGGCCGGCGGACCGUCCCCGCACGAAGCCCCUUCGACGAGUCGAGUUGUUUGGGAAUGCAGCUCCAAGCGGGUGGUAAAUUCCAUCUAAAGCUAAAUACAGGCCGGAGACCGAUAGCGCACAAGUAGAGUGAUCGAAAGAUGAAAAGCACCUUGAAAAGGGGGUCAAACAGCACGUGAAAUUGCUGAGAGGGAAGCGCUGGCCCCCAGACCUGCCCCGCGGGCGGGCCCCCGAAGCCUCCGGGCUCCGGGGAACCCCGUCCGCGUGCAGGCCAGCACGGGUUCGGGCGGCGGGACAAAGCGCCCGGGAAUGUAACUCCCCCCGGGGAGCCUUAUAGCCCGAGCGCGCAUGCCGCCCGCCCGGACCGAGGACCGCGCCGACGGCGAGGGUGCUGGCGUAAUGGGGGUCAGCGGCCCGUCUUGAAACACGGACCAAGGAGUCUAACGUCCCCGCGAGUGUUCGGGCGUCAAACCCCCGGCGCGGAAUGAAAGUGAACGGAGGUGGGACCCCCGCGAGGGGCGCACCAUCGACCGAUCCAGAUGUCUUCGGAUGGAUUUGAGUACGAGCGCGGCCGUUGGGACCCGAAAGAUGGUGAACUAUGCCUGGGUAGGGUGAAGCCAGAGGAAACUCUGGUGGAGGCUCGCAGCGGUUCUGACGUGCAAAUCGAUCGUCAAACCUGGGCAUAGGGGCGAAAGACUAAUCGAACCAUCUAGUAGCUGGUUCCUGUCGAAGUUUCCCUCAGGAUAGCAGUCGCGCGGGCGGUUUUAUGAGGUAAAGCGAAUGAUUAGAGGCCUUGGGGGUGCAACACCCUUAACCUAUUCUCAAACUUUAAAUAUGUAAGAAGUCCCUGUUGCUUCGGUGAAC
This 944-nucleotide ribosomal RNA is filed under the name Leptogium umpquaense. RNAcentral's name for it is "Leptogium sp. BM-2021b partial large subunit ribosomal RNA". It matches the Rfam family "Eukaryotic large subunit ribosomal RNA", at positions 148 to 1100 of the family's 3401-position model. Lineage: Eukaryota; Fungi; Ascomycota; Lecanoromycetes; Peltigerales; Collemataceae. The record is from RNAcentral.